This is a non-coding RNA of Macaca mulatta (Rhesus monkey), 684 nucleotides long. The record is from RefSeq and is a predicted model, not a curated record. Lineage: Eukaryota; Metazoa; Chordata; Mammalia; Primates; Cercopithecidae.
CCUGUAUGCGUCCCAGGGGUCAUCCUCAAAUACUGCCGUGGUCUUGGUGCCCAGAGUCUUCUUAGCAGGUGGGACUCUCCUGUCUUCACCAGUCUGUUGGGAUCAGCUCAGCCAGCCUGGUUAAAGGGUGUGGCCCUUCCAGAUGAGGAGUUCAACAAGACUACAUGGUAGAGCAGCCAGAUAAUCCACUAGAAAGAAGACUCAAAAUAAGAAGUAACCACAAAAUAAGAGACAGAGAAUGCUGAUUCACUAUGCAGUGAAACAUGCCUAACGUGUCAACAGCUAAUGCCCGGUGACAGAGUGGUUGUCUGGGCAACAGAAGAAGUCACCCACGCAAACACUUAAAGGUGAGCUGUGAGAGUUAAGCAAGCGAGAGCUUUUCACUGAGUGAACUCACGUCCACACGGGGUGCGUGUUCAGACUCACGCGGCAGCUCCAGUGACAGGGAAGGUCGGAGAAAUUCCAGGCUCUGAGGAGUCCCAGACAGCAUUCCAGCUCAUUCCUAAUUUUAUAUUCAGGUUCCUUAAAACAAAAACUUCAGUAUGAGACAUUCAAACCCUUUGCAUGUUACAGUCUGCAAAGUUUGAAAAGCAUUUCCUUCCUUAGUGUCUCGGAAUUGCCCUAAAUACUUUCUUUCAACCAGCAGGAUAGGGGACACUAGGCUUUUGUGACGACUUAAGUCUU